GCAGUGAUGAAAUGAUCGUAGCAGACCCUGUACUGACAGCUGUCUGGGUUCAGGUCUUAACGGGCAGAAAGGUUUCUGCGCUUUUCUGACAGUUCUUCAGUCUUAUCUCGGUGUUUCAUGAUAGCGGGGAAUCUGUAAACAUGUGUUUUCUCCGUUGUCUUUCUUCCCUUGUUAGAGCACACAGGGAAUGACAGUAGUGAAGAAUCAACUCGUUUUCGGCACCGUUAUUAUACAGUUUGGGGAAGCAACUCCGCUGCUGUCGGAAGAAUUAAUGCGCUGGUCUUCCAACAUGGCGGCCAGGAGGCGUCGUGUGUUAACUGCGAGCACUCUAUAGUUAAUGUUCUAUGUUUGAGCUGCUUUUGAAAGCUAAAGUCGAAUUGAAAACAUUAUUGACAUUGUUAAAUUCCAUUUUCAUAAUGGCAAGCUAGGAAUGAUGGUUUGGUUAGAUAAACUAGCGAGUCUGUUUGGUUACCACGGCUCCUACUGUAGCUAUCUAUCCAACUUAAACCCAUUUCGAGUGGUACAUGAACCCAUUUCUAGCGGAUGUUGAACCCAGUUCUAGUGGUAAAUGAACCCAGUUCUAGUGAUAAGAAAAGACAGUGGAAUGUCUAAACUAUCAUCAGAUCGACCCGAACGGAAGUGGCAGCUGCGGUGUAUUAGUUACGGAAACGUAAACGUCACCACAGAAGCGAACAGAGCAAAACGAGAGUUUCCAUUGGACAAAUUCAGGAAGGUCCAUCCCUGUUUCGUAUCCUGAAUGUUAUGCCACAUAAUUGGCGUAAUGAAAACGCCCCUGAAUAUCCAAACAGCAGACAUACAGUAGGGGACUUUUCCAGACCAGACUCGGCAGGGCAGACGUCUCUAAGGGUGUCAUCAGUGUCCGUGAAGGAGGACAACCUUUUAUUCCCCUCAGACAGACAUCUUUAUUUCCUUAUACCUGGUUAAUCUCUUCUGUCAUGGAGACCUAAAGUCCCCCAGGAGGGAUGUUCCAAUCGGGGGGAGAGGGCUGACCCGCCAUGCCCAGGGGGG
Long non-coding RNA from Oncorhynchus tshawytscha (Chinook salmon), 1029 nucleotides. The record is from Ensembl. NCBI's taxonomy places the organism in Eukaryota, Metazoa, Chordata, Actinopteri, Salmoniformes, Salmonidae.